RNAcentral lists this ribosomal RNA (252 nucleotides) under uncultured bacterium. Its description in RNAcentral is "partial 16S ribosomal RNA". It matches the Rfam family "Bacterial small subunit ribosomal RNA", at positions 525 to 776 of the family's 1533-position model. The record is from RNAcentral.
ACGGAGGUCCCAAGCGUUGUUCGGAUUCACUGGGCGUAAAGGGUGCGUAGGCGGUCGGGAAAGUUUGAUGUGAAAGCUCCGGGCUCAACCUGGAAAUUGCAUUGAAAACUAUUCGACUAGAGGAUUGUAUGGGAGACUGGAAUUCUCGGUGUAGCAGUGAAAUGCGUAGAUAUCGAGAGGAACACCAGUGGCGAAGGCGAGUCUCUGGACAAUUCCUGACGCUGAGGCACGAAAGCUAGGGGAGCAAACAGG